GCUGGGAGGUCAAUGGAGGACAUCGGUGUGGGGCGGAGCUAAGGGAGGAUCCAUGGGAGGCGGGGCGGGGCUGCGAGGCGGGCCGUUGACUUGAGGGGCGGGAGGCGGGUCCUGGGCGUCGGCUCCAGAGCCCGGGACUCGCACCCCCCAGUCUUCCACAGCUUCCCCGCCGUGGGCGUCGCUCUCAACAGCAAAAACUAGCUGCCGCCCUCGCUGCGGGGCUGCUCCUGGGAAGGCCUCCCACAGAUAAACCCCUUCUUGUCAUCCUUACGAGCCUUCGGACCUGGACAGUUCAGACCCACUCUACCUGGCCUGACAGCUGCAGGGCGAGACGCACCUUGAAGGUUGGGUGUCGGGCGGAGUUCGCCUGAGCAUCCUGAUUGCACCAGCUGGGGCUCGUAGCCAACCAAAGCAGAACCACCUGUUGACUGAGGUUGUAAUUUCUGUAGAGGCUUCUACCCGUUUAACCCCUGACAGUCUCAGAAAUUUUCAGAUCCAUUCUGGGGCUCCUGAAGGCUAGGCAGCCAUGAAAGAGUUUGGGGGGGGGGGUGGGAGUAGAAGGUCCAUGAAUACUUUGAAAUGUACAGAACAUUUUGUGUAUAUGUAUGUUUCUGGAGAAAGGGUAUAGAGUUUGUAUCGGAUUCCCAAGGGGACCUGUCACCUCCCUCAAGUCACCAAGAGUAUUUUAGUAGUUUGGGAUGCUGGACCUCUGGCUUAGCCAGGCUUCUGAUUCUGAUUCCAUCUCUUUGGCAUAUACCAAAUGCCCCAGAUGUAAGUCCUCUAAUAGUCACUUUUAGGAAUAGUGUUAAAGUAGAAGCAGAGGAAAACUAAAGGAUUGAGCAUUUAGGAAGAAAAAAAUUUCAUGAAAAUUGAUUUCCUAGUGAAGAUUGAUAAACUCUGUUUUUACAAAAAUAGAGUUGACAAACAGGUGAGAUUUUUAUUUUUAGGUUCUUCAAACCCUAGCCACACUCCACAUUGCAUAGAACUAAUAGAGAUGAAAGAACUGGUUAUAUUCAUCAUUGAAAAAGAGGGAGAAUCAGUCUAUUUGUGUCAAAACCACCAUGUACAACUUUGUCCCGAUACAUUUAUAUAAAAUAAUAUAUGUGCCUUGUAUUUAUGUCACCUAUCGCUAAAGAACUCCAGGUGUGUGGGAGGUGAAUUUAAAUUAACUUUAAGAAAUUCAAAUACUGUAAACCUUAAAAGACCAACUCCAUUUAUAAUCAGCGUUGACAGUAAAUGUACCGCAUUAAGAUUUGGAAGUUCAUUCCUAUGAGAAAUCUGUUUUCUUGGGUUAUCUUGUCACACUUAAAAGUCUACUUAGUUAUGUUCAUCUAUUUAAGACAUGUAAAUAGAGCAGAUUCCUUGCAUAAUAAUACUCAAAUGAAUCAGGACAUUUCAGAUUUAAUUUAAAUCAGAACAUUAAUCCUCACCCCUUCUGAUAAUAAAGCAGGUAUUAUAAAUCAGAGGUACCUACAGUCUCUUGCUCAGACUGGCCCACCUAUUAGAGAGAUUGACCAGGUAAACUCAUCCUGAGUUUCCGUAUCCAGAUAUUGGUGACCUCUGAGCAUGUCUCUUCUGUAACGUAGAUUCUGCUCCACCCAUGUAGAUAGAAGUCCUGUGUAGUUCUAUAUUUGAUUCUGUGCCUAGUUGUGCUUGACUUGGAGUAACAAGUAGCCCUUUGUCAGGAUCGUCAUUAUCACCUGUUUCAUCUCCACACCCACAUCACUGUCCAGGUUCUUGGUCUGUCAGAAUCUUUGUUGCAGUUCAGUAGGUGAGGCAGGAGUCCAAGAGCCAUGUCUAAAGCUGAUACUGUAUGCGGGUUUACCACUCGUGCCUCAACCUGGAAAAUUCUAUCACAGGGAAGCUGGAUGUGGAUGGCACCACUGGAUCCAUCUGGUGCCUAAAAAACAUAUGUGGGAUAAUCCAUUUAAAAUAUGCUGAGUUUAAGCCAUGUUUCAUUUAUCUACCUUAUGGAAAAGUUCACACAGAGCCUAAUUUUGGGGAUCUAAUAACUAUAUGGCUUGCACAUCAUAUAGAUUCAAUGUACCAUACCCCUUAAUUUUUACAUCAAGGGAGUUGCCUAUGGUCUCUAGACUUGUAAUAGUGAAGCUGGACAUGCUGAGUGCUAGGUGCCAAGAAAAGCCAAGGAACUUUGUGGUCAGACAGUCCUGGAUACCAUCCUGGCUCUUGGCUUAUAGCUGUGUGAUCUUGGGCAAAUUAAUCUCUCCAAACUAUUAUUUCCUCAUUUAAAAAAAUGACAUGAAUGCUUCCUUCAAAGGACUGUUGUGAGAAUUAUGCAAAACAAUGUUGGGAAAGCAUUAAGCGUGACAUCUGGCCUAGUAUACCAUGGGUUUGCAGUUUGUGAUUUUUUUCUUUCUGAUUCCAAGCCUAAUUACUUUUUUUCACUACAGCAUACUUUGAAAUAUUUUCAUGCACUUCUAUUAGUUAGACUCCUUUUGGUUGCAAGCAGCAACAACCCAAUUCAAGCUAGCUUAAGGAAAAGGGAAAUUUAUUUCAUUUUAAGGAUACAAGGGUAUUUUGGAACAUCUCUCAGAACCCAGGAUCUCAGGAACAGUGUGAGGCCAGGGAAGGGAUGCUACCACAGGGAGGGGGCUGUCUCUCUUCGGGCCACUCUGUAACUUCUUUUCUUGAGAGUCGGUGGCCUCCUCCUCUGGGUAUGCCUGGCUCUCUCUGCUCCUUGGACCACAUUGGGUAGGGUGGGGCCACUCACAGUAAAGGCUCUGAGCUUUCUCUGAUCCAGUCCAGCUGGUUCAGCCCUUUAGAGGAAGGGCCUGCAGCUGGAGCAGUCAACAGAGGCUAGCAAGGCAAAGUCACUUUGUGGCUGCUGCAGCUGCAAACACAAGAAGCAAGCGAGAGGGGGCCAGGAGAUAAUUCUUAGGAAGAGGGUUCUGGGCAGAGCAUCUAAUAAGGGCUCCUGAUGACCUUUCCAUAAAAAUGAGAAAUGCUGGUCUGAUCAGCAGUUCACAAUUAAGGGUCUUCCAAGGGCCACAGGCUGAUUCAAAAAUCUCAAGGUGGGAUUUGGCUAGAGACAAAAAAGGAAGAAGAAAUAAAAGGGAUUGGCCUGUUUACUCAUGCAUUUCCUGUCUGUGACUCCAUCACACAGAGCCCGAAAGAGCUCCAUGGUCCCUAUGCAAUUGCCCAUCAUUGGCAGGACUCUGGAGGCUGGCUGCAGAGGGAGCCGGUGUGAAAGGUAUUCAGGAAACUUCUCAAAAGCCAAAGUGUUUUUAGAGCCAGACAGGAAGUCAUUAAAAUGUUUUAAGAGUUUUUGUCUGAGAUGAAUAUGAGAGCAUGCUGGAUUUAAUCAGGCAAUACGGCGAUGACCAAAGGAAGUGAAAUGCAAUCUGGGUGGAUUUCAGACUUCCUUCUACCCAAAAUGGAUGAAAAAUUGAGGUGACGGUUGAGAGAGCUAAACUGACAUGCUGCCAUUGUAAGUUGUAGAGUCAAGAAGAAUAACCUUGCACCCUGCGAUAGAUGAGAAAUAACAGGGUCACCUGUGUAGUCCUGGUCCCCCAAAUAAAUGAAACCUUGAGGAUUUCCAUACUUUACUGAUUUCAGAGUGGAAAACAGCAUUAUCCCUUAUUUCUGCAAUGCUGCUGUCAGGAGAUAUGAUGGGAACUUCAUGGUCAUAAUGAAGUGACAACAUUGCUGUUUUCCUCUGUGCACAGCCCAUCAUAAACUUGACGCUGGGCCAGGAUUCUCGAUAAGACCGUGACCCCCAACUUGGACACCCCGUAAGCGGAGUUGGGCCAGCCUUCCCUCUCAUGCACUUCAUUUUUUGUAUCCUCCACAAACUUUUUCAUGAGAUCCACCAGGUCCUCCUCUGUGAGAGUCUCGCAUCGGAACUUCUCCUGCAGAUCUUCGCUGCAGUUUUCAAGAGCUUUUGAACCCUGUAAACUACUGAUAUUCACCACUCUGCCUGAAACAGAAUAAUAAAAAAUCCAGAAGCAUGUCACAAAUAAACAA
Equus caballus (horse) is the source of this 3984-nucleotide non-coding RNA. The record is from RefSeq and is a predicted model, not a curated record. NCBI's taxonomy places the organism in Eukaryota, Metazoa, Chordata, Mammalia, Perissodactyla, Equidae.